GCUCGCAAGAGCAACCGGCGAACGGGUGCGUAACACGUGAGCAAUCUGCCGAUUUCUGGGGGAUAGCCGGCCCAACGGCCGGGUAAUACCGCAUACGUUCUCGAGGGGGAGUCCUCUUGGGAAGAAACCUCCGGGGGAAAUCGAGGAGCUCGCGGCCUAUCAGCUAGUUGGCGGUGUAAUGGCCCACCAAGGCGACGACGGGUAGCUGGUCUGAGAGGAUGGCCAGCCACAUUGGGACUGAGAGACGGCCCAGACUCCUACGGGAGGCAGCAGUGGGGAAUCUUGCGCAAUGGCCGAAAGGCUGACGCAGCGACGCCGCGUGUGGGAGGACGCCUUUCGGGGUGUAAACCACUGUUGCCCGGGACGAACAUCCCUUUUCGAGGGGACUGACGGUACCGGGUGAGGAAGCACCGGCUAACUCCGUGCCAGCAGCCGCGGUAAUACGGAGGGUGCGAGCGUUGUCCGGAAUCAUUGGGCGUAAAGGGCGCGUAGGUGGCGGGACAAGCGUGCGGUGAAAGCCUGGGGCUCAACCCCGGGUCGGCCGUGCGAACUGUUUUGCUUGAGCACUGUA
This 571-nucleotide ribosomal RNA is filed under the name uncultured bacterium. Its description in RNAcentral is "bacterial SSU rRNA". It matches the Rfam family "Bacterial small subunit ribosomal RNA", at positions 72 to 653 of the family's 1533-position model. The record is from RNAcentral.